GCCCAACUAGCUCAUUCGGUAGAGCAUGAGACUCUUAAUCUCGGGGUUGUGGGUUUGAGCCCCACGCUGGGCA
Molecule: transfer RNA, 73 nt
Filed under: Pangasianodon gigas (Mekong giant catfish)
Lineage: Eukaryota; Metazoa; Chordata; Actinopteri; Siluriformes; Pangasiidae
Description: tRNA-Lys
Rfam family: tRNA
About the family: Transfer RNA (tRNA) molecules are approximately 80 nucleotides in length. Their secondary structure includes four short double-helical elements and three loops (D, anti-codon, and T loops).
Source: RNAcentral